UAAAAACCACAUGAGUUAACAACGGAGGGAGAGAGUAAACAAGAGUCCAUUAAAUACAGUUUCUAUAUCUGGCUUUAAGGUACUUUGAGAAAAAAAUACCCGUCAGACUUUAUUUUGGUUUACCUCGUGGGUCAACUAGGUGAUUCAGAGCCAACGCUGUGGGGGUUGGUCUGUUCUCCUGGUGUGUGUGUGGAAAGCCUUAUUCCAGAUGCAUCAGGAGUCAGCUUAGUGGAGUAGGGUGAACACAGGCUUUGGAGGAAAGCUGAUACCAACACUACCAGGUCUGCCAAUAAGAGACAGCUAUGAAUUUGAGGACACACAUAGCCUCUCAGCCACAGGGUCCUCAUCUGUGAUCUAGAGCCCCUCACCUUACUUAUAUAUUGCUCCUGAGGAUUACAUGAGCCUACUGUUACUUACUAUCUUCUAAGCCCCUCUAUGUUCUUUCAGCACAAGGCCUUCUGCCAAGUCUCUGUGUAGCUGGGGUUCUAAAGAGAAGGCUAUUGCAUCUGGAUGUGUGGGGCAACCAGGGAAGGUCUCGGGCCCCUCCAUUCCAUUCCUGUAGCCAGAAUUUUGGGGGUUAGGAAUUUCAAAACCAGAUCCCUGUCUACAGGGUCCAUUCAGAUGGGGGUCACUUCCCUAGCUAGUGGUGAAAAUAUGAAGACUCCCAGCAUCCAAGAUGGGCAGCACAUAGAAAUCCAAGGAGAGUGGAGUUAGGCUCAAACCACAGCAG
Molecule: long non-coding RNA, 730 nt
Organism: Sapajus apella (tufted capuchin)
Lineage: Eukaryota; Metazoa; Chordata; Mammalia; Primates; Cebidae
Exons: 2
Source: RefSeq, a predicted model, not a curated record